This 88-nucleotide transfer RNA is filed under the name Chloroflexota bacterium. Its description in RNAcentral is "Chloroflexi bacterium tRNA-Ser". It matches the Rfam family "tRNA". From Rfam's summary of the family: Transfer RNA (tRNA) molecules are approximately 80 nucleotides in length. Their secondary structure includes four short double-helical elements and three loops (D, anti-codon, and T loops). The record is from RNAcentral. RNAcentral also lists the same sequence under 3 other names. Lineage: Bacteria; Bacillati; Chloroflexota.
GGAGAGGUCGCAUAGAGGCUUAGUGCGCACGCUUGGAAAGCGUGUAUACCGGAAGGUAUCGCGGGUUCGAAUCCCGCCCUCUCCGCCA